Molecule: non-coding RNA, 352 nt
Organism: Coffea arabica (coffee)
Lineage: Eukaryota; Viridiplantae; Streptophyta; Magnoliopsida; Gentianales; Rubiaceae
Source: RefSeq, a predicted model, not a curated record
AGCCCCGUAUCAAGAAAAGGUGGACUCUUGAAGCCUUAGGUUCUUUAGAACCUAGAAGAAGUGCUCUGGAAGAUGAUUUUGAGGAAGAGGAAGAAAAGGAUGAAGACGACCAACUAGCUGCAGGGUCAGAUGAUGGGGAUCAUGAGAAGGAUUACUACCGCGGCGUAGUCCAACAAGGGAAAGAGAUCGGGAUAGAAGACGAGACAGUCAUAGAUACAGGUUGUUCUUGUUGCUCUUUACUUCUGUUCCCUUUUCAUCAUGGCUUGGGGAGAAAUUUUGGUUAUUAGUACUCCUCAGUUUUUGGCUCUGUUGGAACAUGGCAGAAUUUAUUCUUACCUGCAUCUUAAAGUCA